Dermochelys coriacea (leatherback sea turtle) is the source of this 973-nucleotide long non-coding RNA. RefSeq lists it as uncharacterized. The record is from RefSeq and is a predicted model, not a curated record. NCBI's taxonomy places the organism in Eukaryota, Metazoa, Chordata, Testudines, Dermochelyidae. The transcript is spliced from 3 exons.
AGAGAGAAAACAGCCUCAGAGCAAGCUCUGAACCUAAUGGCAGGUACUGGCUCCCUAGGAAGAAACUCUGGGAACUGUUGCUCAGCAUUUGGAGACAGGGAAGGGUUGGGGAAAAGGCCUGAAGAAAGGUUAAUGGCAGGCAGUGGCAAAAUGUCUGCUGAAGCAGACUUCAGCUGUCAUCUUAGGGUCCCUGGAGUGGAUCCCAGUGUAGGUAGUAGACCUGGGGUUCUCUGUCAGCUGCUUGGUGGGAAGCCCUUGAUAAGGACAAAUAACACUCUGAGAGAAGGUGAAGCUCACAGAGCCCAGAGCUGAGGGCUGAAGAUGAGAUACAAGGAGUGGGGUGAUACCCUGGAAGAGGUGGGAUUCAAAUGUGACUUGGCUGGGGGUCUGAGUCAUAAGAAGAGUCAGACUGUGGUAGGAUCAGAGUGGCUGCUGGGAGAGGCACAGGAGACAGACCCUGCUACCCCAUGCCCAGCUGCCAGGGGCAAAGCCACUGAGAUCUGGAAACUGAGGUAAAGAGAGGUUAAGGAACUGACCCAAGGCCCUACAGCUCUUCAACAGAAUUCCUGCCUCACACUGAAUGUCCCAGACCCCACAGCCUCUCCUCCUGUGUACCACCUAUGGAGCUACCAACCCAGGACAGCAAAUACACAGGCAGCUGUUGAAACUGAAGGAGCAACAGGAAACAAGAGCAUCAUACCGCAGACUUUGGUUGAUCUUUCCCAUCCCUAUUCCAAGGGAAAGCAGAGGAAUGAUUAUCCCAACCAGCCAACCUCCUGCCAUGGAAAAACAAAGAGGUGACUGGCCAGGAGUGAUCAUGAGAACAAAACGAAUGGAGAAUAAUAUGCUGAUCCUGUUUACUUAUACUAUAUAGGUGUAUGUUGUCACACAUCAUCCUGCUCUCUUUAUUCAAUACCUAGGCUAUCUGUAUUAUGCCUUUAACAACAAAUCACUUAUCGAUAGCAACACAACU